UGUUAAUUUCAUCCCAAUGUUGAACGACUCAAACUUUAAGAUAUAAAAAAACAGUGUUCGGAUUCAUCCCAUGUUGAACGACUCAUACUUCAAGAUAUGAAAAAAUAGUGUUUGGAUUGUUCUUAAAGUUAUGGAUCUGGAUUGUGCUUUACGGGUCAAUCCACCCACUCCAUUUACUCCUAACAGUACUCUUGAGGAAAGGAGGGAGUUUGAAAGAUGGGAUCGAUCAAACCGUAUGUAUU
RNAcentral lists this long non-coding RNA (242 nucleotides) under Carica papaya (papaya). RNAcentral describes it as "long non-coding RNA (CPAP_LNC011835)". Lineage: Eukaryota; Viridiplantae; Streptophyta; Magnoliopsida; Brassicales; Caricaceae. The record is from RNAcentral.